CUUCCUCCAAUCCAAACGAUUCUGCUCCAUGACCUGUGUCACGUCAGUCCAGUUUUCCUCAUAGGGCUGCAGAAUACCAGUUCAAUGUGAGCUGUACUAAGCAUCUGAGGGAGUUGAAGGUGGACAAGGCCAGUCGUUGGGGCCAUAGGCCGAUGGGCAGGAGAGGACGACCCCCGGAGAGGAUCAACGGGGGCUCCAGAGAACACUUCCUCCUUAGACAGAUGAAGUGGCCCUACGGCUCUGAUGAGGCCCAGAGAAGGUUGAGGGGGAAGAGGAGCCCCCUGUCCACCUGAUCACCAGGCUGCGUCGGCAUGAAGAGAGGGAGAGAAGAGAGGUGACAGAGAGAGGGAGGGAGCAGGGAGAGGAGAGACGUUCAGUCCCUCUUAUGGACAGAUCGCGGGAAAGACUGUAGUGAAAAUCCAACACAGUGGAGUGUGGAACAAGUCUGCUCCUACAUCAGGUAGGCGGGACAUAUCCAACGAGUUACGUUCCCAGGGGAUUGACGGCCAGGCCCUCCUAUUGCUGACAGAGAAGCACUUG
RNAcentral lists this long non-coding RNA (540 nucleotides) under Salmo salar (Atlantic salmon). RNAcentral's name for it is "lncRNA (ENSSSAG00000114890.1, ENSSSAG00020058604.1, ENSSSAG00075034691.1)". Lineage: Eukaryota; Metazoa; Chordata; Actinopteri; Salmoniformes; Salmonidae. The record is from RNAcentral.